GGCCGGUUUGUUCUGUCUCUUUUAGAGUAUCGGCCAUAACGCUCUUCCCUCCCUACAUGUGCUUUCCAGUCUACGUACCUAUUGAACGCUGCCUUCAGGUUUUUGUACGGCGGUUCGAUGCCUUCGUGUCACUGUGGAUCACGUUUGGUGGAGGAACCAGACUGAGCGUUGGAAGUGAUGUCCGGCCCACCCUGACGGUGCUGCCCCCCUCCAGGGAGGAGCUGCAGCAGGGGACGGCCACGCUGGUGUGCCUGGCCGACAAGGGCUUCCCCUCCGACUGGAGUCUGGCCUGGAAGGUGGACGGCAGCAGCAGCAGCUGGGAGGAGAGCAGGAGCCCCGGGGUGCUGGGGGGGGGCGCCCUCUACAGCUGGAGCAGCACCCUGAGGCUCCCUGCAAACCAGUGGGCCAAGGUGCGCUCCGUGACCUGUGAGGCCACCCAGGGCUCCCAGACUGCGCUCUCAGAGACGCUGAGGAGAGACCAGUGUUCCCAGUGAGCUGAGCCACUGGGGCUCUGAUACUGGUUCACUCUCAUACUGGUUCAGUAUGACUUGUAACACGUUCCCGUUCAUUUCUUUUUUUUCAAUCACUGUCUAAGUUCCUGUUUCAUUUAUUAAGUUCUGUUCACUUUUAUUAUUUCAACACAAUAAAAACU
Gasterosteus aculeatus aculeatus (three-spined stickleback) is the source of this 652-nucleotide non-coding RNA. NCBI's taxonomy places the organism in Eukaryota, Metazoa, Chordata, Actinopteri, Perciformes, Gasterosteidae. The record is from the annotation of a RefSeq genome assembly.